CGAGCGGAAGGCCCUUCGGGGUACUCGAGCGGCGAACGGGUGAGUAACACGUGAGUAACCUGCCCCCGACUCUGGGAUAAGCCCGGGAAACUGGGUCUAAUACCGGAUACGACCACUUCCCGCAUGGGAUGGUGGUGGAAAGUUUUUUCGGUUGGGGAUGGACUCGCGGCCUAUCAGCUUGUUGGUGGGGUAAUGGCCUACCAAGGCGACGACGGGUAGCCGGCCUGAGAGGGCGACCGGCCACACUGGGACUGAGACACGGCCCAGACUCCUACGGGAGGCAGCAGUGGGGAAUAUUGCGCAAUGGGCGAAAGCCUGACGCAGCGACGCCGCGUGGGGGAUGACGGCCUUCGGGUUGUAAACCUCUUUCAGCAGGGACGAAGUUGACGUGUACCUGCAGAAGAAGCGCCGGCUAACUACGUGCCAGCAGCCGCGGUAAUACGUAGGGCGCAAGCGUUGUCCGGAAUUAUUGGGCGUAAAGAGCUCGUAGGUGGCUUGUCACGUCGGGUGUGAAAGCUUGGGGCUUAACUCCAGGUCUGCAUUCGAUACGGGCUGGCUAGAGGUAGGUAGGGGAGAACGGAAUUCCUGGUGUAGCGGUGAAAUGCGCAGAUAUCAGGAGGAACACCGGUGGCGAAGGCGGUUCUCUGGGCCUUACCUGACGCUGAGGAGCGAAAGCGUGGGGAGCGAACAGGAUUAGAUACCCUGGUAGUCCACGCUGUAAACGUUGGGCGCUAGGUGUGGGGACCUUCCACGGUUUCCGCGCCGUAGCUAACGCAUUAGC
Molecule: ribosomal RNA, 781 nt
Filed under: Streptosporangium sp. 5-322
Lineage: Bacteria; Bacillati; Actinomycetota; Actinomycetes; Streptosporangiales; Streptosporangiaceae
Description: bacterial SSU rRNA
Rfam family: Bacterial small subunit ribosomal RNA
Source: RNAcentral